CAAAUCACCAGGCUAAGCAUGUAGUCCUGACUGCCGAGAGCUUGCGGACGCGGGUUCGAUUCCCGCCGCCUCCACCA
RNAcentral lists this transfer-messenger RNA (77 nucleotides) under Betaproteobacteria bacterium. RNAcentral describes it as "partial transfer-messenger RNA". It matches the Rfam family "transfer-messenger RNA", at positions 296 to 374 of the family's 374-position model. Rfam says of the family: Bacterial tmRNA, also known as 10Sa RNA or SsrA, is named for its dual tRNA and mRNA-like properties. Its role is to liberate the mRNA from a stalled ribosome. Lineage: Bacteria; Pseudomonadati; Pseudomonadota; Betaproteobacteria. The record is from RNAcentral.